Molecule: ribosomal RNA, 301 nt
Filed under: uncultured bacterium
Lineage: Bacteria
Description: partial 16S ribosomal RNA
Rfam family: Bacterial small subunit ribosomal RNA
Source: RNAcentral
CAGUCGCCGCGGUAAUACGAAGGGUGCAAGCGUUAAUCGGAAUUACUGGGCGUAAAGCGUGCGUAGGCGGUGAGUUAAGUCUGCUGUGAAAUCCCCGGGCUUAACCUGGGAAUGGCAAUGGAUACUGGCAAGCUAGAGUGUGUCAGAGGAUGGUGGAAUUCCCGGUGUAGCGGUGAAAUGCGUAGAGAUCGGGAGGAACAUCAGUGGCGAAGGCGGCCAUCUGGGACAACACUGACGCUGAGGCACGAAAGCGUGGGGAGCAAACAGGAUUAGAGACCCCCGUAGUCCCUGUCUCUUAUAC